AGUGAACGCUGGCGGUAGGCCUAACACAUGCAAGUCGAACGGCAGCACAGUAAGAGCUUGCUCUUACGGGUGGCGAGUGGCGGACGGGUUAGGAAUACAUCGGAAUCUACUUUUUCGUGGGGGAUAACGUAGGGAAACUUACGCUAAUACCGCAUACUACCUACGGGUGAAAGCAGGGGAUCUUCUGACCUUGCGCGAUUGAAUGAGCCGAUGUCGGAUUAGCUAGUUGGCGGGGUAAAGGCCCACCAAGGCGACGAUCCGUAGCUGGUCUGAGAGGAUGAUCAGCCACACUGGAACUGAGACACGGUCCAGACUCCUACGGGAGGCAGCAGUGGGGAAUAUUGGACAAUGGGCGCAAGCCUGAUCCAGCAAUACCGCGUGGGUGAAGAAGGCCUUCGGGUUGUAAAGCCCUUUUGUUGGGAAAGAAAAGGAGCAGGUUAAUACCUGGCGGUUAUGACGGUACCGAAAGAAUAAGCACCGGCUAACUUCGUG
Molecule: ribosomal RNA, 492 nt
Filed under: uncultured bacterium
Lineage: Bacteria
Description: partial 16S ribosomal RNA
Rfam family: Bacterial small subunit ribosomal RNA
Source: RNAcentral